This 1225-nucleotide small RNA is filed under the name Pongo abelii (Sumatran orangutan). Lineage: Eukaryota; Metazoa; Chordata; Mammalia; Primates; Hominidae. The record is from RNAcentral.
GAGAUAAAGCUACCAAGGACUUGGGAGUGACGUGCUGUAAAGGAAUUUUAGGAUGAAUCUUGCAUCAGUGCACAUGAUAAAAGGGAAAGAGUGGCGGAAAGCCAGGAAGUGGAUUCUUAAGAACCACUGAUGGAGUAAGUACAGGGAAAGAGAAAGGAAAGAUGGAUUUAGCCAACUGAAUCUAGGCUGCACACUAUUAAAGCUCAGGGUGGAGGCCAGUCGUGGCUCAUGAACUCUGAGUGUCGGAAGUGUGCUACAUCAAUGGCAGGAUUUUCGCUAACACCAGUAGAGCUUGCCUCUAUGACUGGAGUUUGGUAGUACUCGCUGCCACAUAGAGUAAACUUGGGAAGAAUGUUUGCACAGCCAGGUCAAGUGUUAAAACCCUUCUGCUCUCACUUAGGCAUCUAUAUCAUAAAUCUGAAGAGGACGUGGGAGAAGCUUCUGUUGGCAGCUCGUGCUAUUGUUGCCAUUGAAAACCCUGCUGAUGUCAGUGUUAUAUCCUCCAGGAAUACUGGCCAGAGGGCUGUGCUGAAGUUUGCUGCUGCCACUGGAGCCACUCCAAUUGCUGGCCGCUUCACUCCUGGAACCUUCACUAACCAGAUCCAGGCAGCCUUCCGGGAGCCACGGCUUCUUGUGGUUACUGACCCCAGGGCUGACCACCAGCCUCUCACGGAGGCAUCUUACGUUAACCUGCCUACCAUUGCGCUGUGUAACACAGAUUCUCCUUUGCGCUAUGUGGACAUUGCCAUCCCAUGCAACAACAAGGGAGCUCACUCAGUGGGUUUGAUGUGGUGGAUGCUGGCUCGGGAAGUUCUUCGCAUGCGUGGCACCAUUUCCCGUGAACACCCAUGGGAGGUCAUGCCUGAUCUGUACUUCUACAGAGAUCCUGAAGAGAUUGAAAAAGAAGAGCAGGCUGCUGCUGAAAAGGCAGUGACCAAGGAGGAAUUUCAGGGUGAAUGGACUGCUCCAGCUCCUGAGUUCACUGCUACUCAGCCUGAGGUUGCAGACUGGUCUGAAGGUGUACAGGUGCCCUCUGUGCCUAUUCAGCAGUUCCCUACUGAAGACUGGAGCGCUCAGCCUGCCACAGAAGACUGGUCUGCAGCUCCCACUGCUCAGGCCACUGAAUGGGUAGGAGCAACCACUGACUGGUCUUAAGCUGUUCUUGCGUAGGCUUUUAAGCAACAUGGAAAAAUGGUUGAUGGAAAAUAAACAUCAGUUUCUAAAA